Molecule: ribosomal RNA, 460 nt
Filed under: uncultured bacterium
Lineage: Bacteria
Description: partial 16S ribosomal RNA
Rfam family: Bacterial small subunit ribosomal RNA
Source: RNAcentral
CCUACGGGUGGCUGCAGUGAGGAAUAUUGGUCAAUGGACGCAAGGCUGAACCAGCCAAGUAGCGUGAAGGAAGAAGGCCCUAUGGUUUGUAAACUUCUUUUAUAGGGGAAUAAAGGUAUCCACGUGUGGAUAUUUGCAUGUACCCUAUGAAUAAGCAUCGGCUAACUCCGUGCCAGCAGCCGCGGUAAUACGGAGGAUGCGAGCGUUAUCCGGAUUUAUUGGGUUUAAAGGGUGCGUAGGUUGUUUUUUAAGUCAGCGGUGAAAGUUUGUGGCUCAACCGUAAAAUUGCCGUUGAAACUGGAGGACUUGAGUGUGCUUGAGGUAGGCGGAAUGCGUGGUGUAGCGGUGAAAUGCAUAGAUAUCACGCAGAACUCCGAUUGCGAAGGCAGCUUACUAAGCCAUAACUGACACUGAAGCACGAAAGCGUGGGUAUCAAACAGGAUUAGAUACCCUUGUAGUC